UACAGAAGGUGCAAACGUUGUUCGGAAUUACUGGGCGUAAAGCGCGUGUAGGCUGCUUCGAAAGUCGGAUGUGAAAGCCCUGGGCUCAACCUAGGAAGUGCAUUCGAAACUUCGAAGCUUGAGUUCUGGAGAGGAAGGCGGAAUUCUCGGUGUAGAGGUGAAAUUCGUAGAUAUCGAGAGGAACACCGGUGGCGAAGGCGGCCUUCUGGACAGUGACUGACGCUGAGACGCGAAAGCGUGGGGAGCAAACAGG
This 253-nucleotide ribosomal RNA is filed under the name uncultured bacterium. RNAcentral's name for it is "partial 16S ribosomal RNA". It matches the Rfam family "Bacterial small subunit ribosomal RNA", at positions 524 to 776 of the family's 1533-position model. The record is from RNAcentral.